CUACGGGCCGCAGCAGUGAGGAAUAUUGGUCAAUGGGCGCAAGCCUGAACCAGCCAUCCCGCGUGCAGGAAGACGGCCCUAUGGGUUGUAAACUGCUUUUCUAAAGGAAGAAACCCCUUUACGUGUAGAGGGCUGCCUGUACUUUAGGAAUAAGCACCGGCUAACUCCGUGCCAGCAGCCGCGGUAAUACGGAGGGUGCAAGCGUUAUCCGGAUUUAUUGGGUUUAAAGGGUGCGUAGGCGGAAGUAUAAGUCAGGGGUGAAAUGCUGCAGCUUAACUGUAGAAUUGCCUUUGAUACUGUAUUUCUUGAGUGCGGUUGAGGUAGGCGGAAUGUGUAAUGUAGCGGUGAAAUGCUUAGAUAUUACACAGAACACCGAUUGCGUAGGCAGCUUACUAAACCGUAACUGACGCUGAUGCACGAAAGCGUGGGUAGCGAACAGGAUUAGAUACCCCCGUAGUC
RNAcentral lists this ribosomal RNA (459 nucleotides) under uncultured bacterium. RNAcentral describes it as "partial 16S ribosomal RNA". It matches the Rfam family "Bacterial small subunit ribosomal RNA", at positions 339 to 795 of the family's 1533-position model. The record is from RNAcentral.